This is a small nucleolar RNA of Myotis lucifugus (little brown bat), 129 nucleotides long. Ensembl annotates it as small nucleolar RNA SNORA42/SNORA80 family. Lineage: Eukaryota; Metazoa; Chordata; Mammalia; Chiroptera; Vespertilionidae. The record is from Ensembl.
GCAUGGCUUUGGAUUUAUGGCAGGCCUGUCCCCCGGGUCUCUCCUGGUGCCCAUGCCAGAGCAGACUGGCCUGGAACCAUCGCCUGCCUCUGCUCCUCUGCUGCGGGCGCUGAAGCGGGUUGCAAGGUG